RNAcentral lists this ribosomal RNA (488 nucleotides) under uncultured soil bacterium. RNAcentral's name for it is "bacterial SSU rRNA". It matches the Rfam family "Bacterial small subunit ribosomal RNA", at positions 26 to 508 of the family's 1533-position model. The record is from RNAcentral.
AGAACGAACGCUGGCGGCGUGCCUAACACAUGCAAGUCGAGCGCGAAAAGAGCAAUCUGAGUAGAGCGGCGCACGGGUGCGUAACACGUGGGUAAUCUGCCUCGAGGUUUGGGAUAACCUUCCGAAAGGUUGGCUAAUACCAGUUAAGCUCACGGUGACUUCGGUCGCUGAGAGAAAAGGGGCCCGAAAGGGUCUCGCCACGAGAUGAGCCCGCGGCCCAUCAGCUAGUUGGUGAGGUAACGGCCCACCAAGGCUACGACGGGUAGCUGGUCUGAGAGGACGAUCAGCCACACUGGAACUGAGACACGGUCCAGACUCCUACGGGAGGCAGCAGUGGGAAUUUUGCACAAUGGGCGAAAGCCUGAUGCAGCAACGCCGCGUGUGUGAUGAAGGUCUUCGGAUCGUAAAGCACUUUCGACCGGACGAACAAGGCUGGCCACACCAGCCCCUGACGGUACCAGGAGAAGAAGCACCGGCUAACUCUGUCG